This 576-nucleotide ribosomal RNA is filed under the name Penicillium sp. Its description in RNAcentral is "eukaryotic LSU rRNA". The stretch from base 206 to 359 matches the Rfam family "5.8S ribosomal RNA". Lineage: Eukaryota; Fungi; Ascomycota; Eurotiomycetes; Eurotiales; Aspergillaceae. The record is from RNAcentral.
UUUCCGUAGGUGAACCUGCGGAAGGAUCAUUACUGAGUGAGGGCCCUCUGGGUCCAACCUCCCACCCGUGUUUAUUGUACCUUGUUGCUUCGGUGCGCCCGCCUCACGGCCGCCGGGGGGCUUCUGCCGCCGGGUCCGCGCGCACCGGAGACACUAUUGAACUCUGUCUGAAGAUUGCAGUCUGAGCAUAAACUAAAUAAGUUAAAACUUUCAACAACGGAUCUCUUGGUUCCGGCAUCGAUGAAGAACGCAGCGAAAUGCGAUAACUAAUGUGAAUUGCAGAAUUCAGUGAAUCAUCGAGUCUUUGAACGCACAUUGCGCCCCCUGGUAUUCCGGGGGGCAUGCCUGUCCGAGCGUCAUUGCUGCCCUCAAGCACGGCUUGUGUGUUGGGCUCCGUCCCCCCGGGGACGGGUCCGAAAGGCAGCGGCGGCACCGAGUCCGGUCCUCGAGCGUAUGGGGCUUUGUCACCCGCUCUGUAGGCCCGGCCGGCGCCAGCCGACAACCAAUCAUCCUUUUUUCAGGUUGACCUCGGAUCAGGUAGGGAUACCCGCUGAACUUAAGCAUAUCAAUAAGCGG